UAUGGUUUUUGUCUGGUUUUUGGAAAACGCUGAAAAUAAGGUCUGUGGUAAACACAGGCUUAUGAGAUCUAAUAUGUUUUGUUCUAUGAGGUCAUCUUCAUGAAUGCAGAUACACUGAGCUAUGCCCAAGCCGUACGCAGUAAAAGAGCCCACACGCAGAGUUUGGAGCAUCGCCGGCCACACUGCCCUCCACACCACCCUCUUCAAUUCCUCCUUAACCUCCCUCCCAUGUUACCAGACCAGGCCCGCCUCAGCCCAGCUCUACCAGACCCGGCCCAGCACAGCUCAGGCAGACCCGGCCCAUCACAGCACAGCUCUACCAGACCAGGUCCACCCCAAGCCAAGCUCUACACAGCACCGACUGCUAACCUAGGGUCUGGCAAAACACUGUUGAAGGUAGUGCACCACAUGAUGCAGGCCAGACCAUGUAUCAUUUACAUCAACCCUCAUAUGCAGAGUUUGGAGCUUUGUCAGCCACACUACCCUCCACACCACCCUCCUCAAUUCCCCCACAACCUCUCUCCCAGGCUAGUUUUAGAUACCCCCUACUCCCAUCCCCAGGACAGGCCUGGGACACUCCUGCCCCCCAAUGGCAGCCCCAACCCUGCAACAGGAGAGACACCAAGACCUUCUGUGCACACCCAGAAUGGAGCAUUGGCAGCAACCCUGGUCCACUGCAGCAGCUUCAUCCGGGUGUACUGAGCUCUGCCAACACUGUUCUCCAAAGUUCUCGCUCCAGCCCCUGCAUCCAGAAACUCGAGGGAGGUCUAACAAAUGUUCAGUCUGCUCUGCUCUGCUCUGCUCUCACAUAGUUUGCAAGGGACCUUGGAAAUGUCUCCACUCACUCUACAAAUCGCUGCAGAUGACCCUAUGCCUGUCAGCUCUUAUGGGAAUGAGCUUAAUACCCGCUCUGACUUUAAAUCUCGUAGGGGCUUGGGCUAAUGCACCGACAUGUGCUAAGUAUGAUUUUUUUAAAUUAUACAAUUUACAUGUGGGUGCAGGACUCAUGCCCUGACAUUCUGGUUCUCUUGGAAACAUGGUUAAAUGGUUCUGUCUCUGAUAAAGAUAUUGAAGUCAAUUAUUAUAGUGUAUUUAGAUAGCUAAAAUAUUAGAAUCCUUGAUGAAUUCUCAGCUAAGAUAUUUUUUAUUUUAUCAGUUGGGUUUUAGACCAGGUCAUAGCACUGUCUCUGCUGCAUCCCUAGUUAUAAAUGAUGUGGCUAACUGUAUGGAUAAAAGGCAACAUUGUGCUGCCCCUUUCAUUGACCUGUCAAAGGAUUUCGAUGCUGUUGAUCACUCACUACUAAUUCAGAGGUUUUACUCAAUUGGCCUAGACCAGGCUGCAUGUAACUGGUUUAAAAAUUACUUGACAGACAGGACUCAAUGUACUGUAUAUCUACUGAUGGUGUUAAAUCAGGUUUCCUGGAUAUUACGAAAGGUGUCCUGCAGCGGUCAAUUCUGGGUACUGAACUUUGUACUGUUUACAUUGACAAUAUCGACUUGUCUGUCAAAAUAUGUAACCUGCACUUGUAUGCCGAUGAUACUGUUGUGUAUGCUAUUGCCCCCAUGGUUGAAGAGGCUCUAUCUGAACUACGGUCUGCCUUCAUUAUGUUACAGAAAAACUUUAUUAACCUGAAAUUAGUAUUGAAUGCAGGAAUGGCUGAACCAACCAGAGGUAACAAGCUGGUGAGCUACUGCUAGAAUUCAGGGUUGUCACUAGUUAACACAGUCACAAAGUCAAAUUCAAUUAUUUAUAUAUACAUCCAUUAUAGGGGAUUCCGUGUUGGAGCUACCGUGCUUCCAUCUUGGCACUCCCACACCGGUGUAAAAAAACAUUUUGGAAUAUAUGAAGUAUAAUUGUUGGAGAUUACUAAUGGUACAUAUGCAGGAUGCUACCCUCCAAAGCAUGACCUUCGCUCCAGAUCAAAACUCCAAACCUACAACCUAAUUUGGACCAAAAUUAACCGGAGAGAUUACUGCUUCCAAGGUUUUAUUUGUCCAAGCUUUCCGGAGGGUGCUCCAGCCAACAAACAGCAGAGACCAGAGGACACCAUUCCAACCUGGAACUGAGCCAGAUACAAAUUCAAUGAGCACUAUGGUGUGAAGUAAAAGGCCUUUGGGCCCAACAAGUGUCAGGAGUCUUUGAAACGUCCUAAAGCCCCAUCCUGCUGUUCAAAUACCAUAUUCACUGGCAUCGGGACUCUGAUUCUCUAUUGGUUACAGACUUUUGGCCUCCCAUCCUAUUCUAACCACCUCUCGCUGGCUUUUUAUACAAGUUACCUGAUGACAUUUCUGUACAAUAUGAUCUUGUUGCCAUCUGAUGCACAUUCAGAGGUCAUAAAUCAGCACUGCAGAGCUCUCCCUGUACU
This is a long non-coding RNA of Salvelinus namaycush (lake trout), 2366 nucleotides long. RefSeq lists it as uncharacterized. Lineage: Eukaryota; Metazoa; Chordata; Actinopteri; Salmoniformes; Salmonidae. The record is from RefSeq and is a predicted model, not a curated record. The transcript has 3 exons.